GCGACCCCAGGUCAGGCGGGGCUACCC
This 27-nucleotide ribosomal RNA is filed under the name Silene aprica. RNAcentral describes it as "partial 28S ribosomal RNA". Lineage: Eukaryota; Viridiplantae; Streptophyta; Magnoliopsida; Caryophyllales; Caryophyllaceae. RNAcentral also lists the same sequence under 1 other name. The record is from RNAcentral.